RNAcentral lists this ribosomal RNA (429 nucleotides) under Actinomycetes bacterium. RNAcentral describes it as "Actinobacteria bacterium partial 16S ribosomal RNA". It matches the Rfam family "Bacterial small subunit ribosomal RNA", at positions 355 to 776 of the family's 1533-position model. The record is from RNAcentral. Lineage: Bacteria; Bacillati; Actinomycetota; Actinomycetes.
UAGGGAAUCUUCCGCAAUGGGCGAAAGCCUGACGGAGCAACGCCGCGUGAGUGAUGAAGGUCUUCGGAUCGUAAAACUCUGUUAUUAGGGAAGAACAAAUGCGUAAGUAACUAUGCACGUCUUGACGGUACCUAAUCAGAAAGCCACGGCUAACUACGUGCCAGCAGCCGCGGUAAUACGUAGGUGGCAAGCGUUAUCCGGCAUUAUUGGGCGUAAAGCGCGUGUAGGCGGUUUUCUAUGUCUGAUGUGAAAGCCCACGGCUCAACCGUGGAGGGACAUUUGAAACUGCAAUACUACAGUGCAGAAGAGGAGAGUGGAAUUCCAUGUGUAGCGGUAAAAUGCGCAGAGAUGUGGAGGAAAACCAGUGGCGAAGGCAACUUUCUGGUCUGUAACUGACGCUGAUGUGCGAAAGCGUGGGGAUCAAACAGG